Daucus carota subsp. sativus is the source of this 1378-nucleotide long non-coding RNA. RefSeq lists it as uncharacterized. Lineage: Eukaryota; Viridiplantae; Streptophyta; Magnoliopsida; Apiales; Apiaceae. The transcript is spliced from 2 exons. The record is from RefSeq and is a predicted model, not a curated record.
GGCCCAGAAGUUUGAUGCUUGGAGGUACUAGGUAGACAUGACAAUUUUUAUCCAAAACCAAUAAAUCAAACCGGACCAUAUAUAUGGACUUGGACCAAAUUCAUAUCACACAUGUUUAUUUGGUUAUGGGUCGGGUUUAGAGUACAAAUUUAUUAAAAUAAUAUGGGCUUAAAAAUGAGAUACCCAGUCCAUAUUAUCCACUAAAAACAAUAACCCAGCAGAGGACAGCAUACGAGCGAGACUAGAACCGAGACUAUAACCUGAGACACACUUCGGUCCAUUUCCGUGCUUCAUGUUCCCUAUACACUGCCUGAGCAAUAUACACAACAAAUAGAGUAAUGGGUGUCCACAAAUCAUGAAAAAUCAGAAAUUAGAGGUGCUCAAAUCUGUUUACUCUUGCGUCUCUUCAUUCUCGUGAACAACCAAUCAGGUGUAAUUGUUUCUCUUUUAUUUGUGUGCAUCUAAUGGAAGAAGAACAUAGUUCUAAUAUGAGUAGGUUUGCGAAAAGAUAUAGAAAGACAACAUCAAAAAUUUGGUCUUUAUUUGAAAAUUUUGAAAGUGAUGGAAUAUUUAAAAGAAAGUUUAGAAUGUAGUCAAAUUUAUAGUUGUGAGCAUGGUACUAGUAAUAUGCAGAAACACAUGUUAAAACAUGGACAUAAUGUUGUUGGUGAUGAACUUGAAAAUGCCCCAUUUGAUCAAAAAGUUUAUCGUGAUUUGAUGGGCAAAGCAAUUAUAAAACAUAAUCUGCCCUUUAAUUAUGUUGAGUAUGAUGGUGUAUGGGAUGUGCAAAGUUACUUGAAUUCUAAUGUCCAACCCAUUUUAAAAAAUACUAUCAUAGGUGAUAUCUUGGAUACAUAUAGAUUUGAGAAAAGGAAAAUGAAAGAUAUAUUACAAUCCUUGCCUGGAAAAGUAUGCUUGACAUCUGAUUUGUGGUCCUCGUCAGUUAUGGAUGGAUAUUUAUCUAUUACUGAUCAUUUUGUUUAAGGUAAUUGGAGACCACAUUCAAGGAUUUUAAAUUUUAGAUUUAUGCCCCCCACCACACAAUGGACAUUUAUUGAAUAUUUAUAUGUUUAUUCUCAUAAGGCUUCCCUUUUUGCAGGUUGCUUUUGUUUUGUAGACCGAUUUCGAUAAAAAUUUGAGAACCAGCCAGAGAGAUCUAAAACUAGGCGUAAAAUUAAUAUACUUCUGAGCUACUCUGUUCUUAUUCAUUGAGUGCUUAUGUAGACUCUUUUUUGAGAUGAGAUGAUACAUUGGUUUACGGAGUUUCUUGUACUUAACUGAAUAGCGCUUGUUUAAUUGAAUUAGGCUUGUUUAAUUUCUUGUUACCAGCAGAAUAGUGCUUGUUUAAUUGAAUUAGACUAAAAUUUUGAUUCCGGCA